Molecule: ribosomal RNA, 492 nt
Filed under: uncultured bacterium
Lineage: Bacteria
Description: partial 16S ribosomal RNA
Rfam family: Bacterial small subunit ribosomal RNA
Source: RNAcentral
AUUGAACGCUGGCGGCAGGCCUAACACAUGCAAGUCGAGCGAACCUAGCUUGCUAGGUGAGCGGCGAACGGGUGAGUAACACGUAGGAAUCUGCCCGAUAGUGGGGGACAACGUCUCGAAAGGGACGCUAAUACCGCAUACGCCCUACGGGGGAAAGCAGGGGAUCUUCGGACCUUGCGCUAUCGGAUGAGCCUGCGUCGGAUUAGCUAGUUGGUGGGGUAAAGGCCUACCAAGGCGACGAUCCGUAGCUGGUCUGAGAGGUUGAUCAGCCACACCGGAACUGAGACACGGUCCGGACUCCUACGGGAGGCAGCAGUGGGGAAUAUUGGACAAUGGGCGAAAGCCUGAUCCAGCCAUGCCGCGUGUGUGAAGAAGGUCUUCGGAUUGUAAAGCACUUUAAGUUGGGAGGAAGGGCAGUAAGCUAAUACCUUGUUGUUUUGACGUUACCGACAGAAUAAGCACCGGCUAACUCUGUGCCAGCAGCCGCAGUAA